RNAcentral lists this ribosomal RNA (253 nucleotides) under uncultured bacterium. Its description in RNAcentral is "partial 16S ribosomal RNA". It matches the Rfam family "Bacterial small subunit ribosomal RNA", at positions 524 to 776 of the family's 1533-position model. The record is from RNAcentral.
UGCGUAGGUGGCAAGCGUUGUCCGGAUUUACUGGGUGUAAAGGGCGUGCAGCCGGGAAGAUAAGUCAGAUGUGAAAUCCCGCGGCUCAACCGCGGAACUGCAUUUGAAACUGUUUUUCUUGAGUACCGGAGAGGUCAUCGGAAUUCCUUGUGUAGCGGUGAAAUGCGUAGAUAUAAGGAAGAACACCAGUGGCGAAGGCGGAUGACUGGACGGCAACUGACGGUGAGGCGCGAAAGCGUGGGAAGCAAACAGG